GUCAGAUCUCACAGGCUUCAGACCACAGAGGAGCACUAGGACCCCACCAGAGGUGGUCCUGAGGCUGAGCUGAAGGCCCUGGGGAUGGGCUAUGCAAGCUGAUUGCUCACUGCGAGUAGCAAGAGCCAAAGAAAUGAAUGCGGCCCUUGCUGCUUGCGAGAUGCCUGGAAGGUUCAGAGCCUUUAGGAAUGCAGCUAAUAUGUAAGGUUAUUAAAGCGUUUUUGGCCAUGGUGGUCCCCUGGAGAAUUUUAGGCAGUAAGAAAUCAACAAGCAUUUGCGAAAUGAGUGAAAGACAACGCUGGAGACUAUGGAGGCCAGAUGGGCAUCAGGGAGACAACCCAGGGCCUGUUGCCCUAAUCCAGGUGGGAGCAAUGAGAGCGUGGACAGAGGCAGCAGGAGGUGCUGGGGGAAGGUCACACUCCCCUCCAACUUGUGAAGGAGGGUCACAGUAUUUGGUGACUGAUGGGGGAGAUGGAUGAAGAUAAAGCAAAGAUGACUUUAUAUUUUUAGCUAGGAUUAUGGCAAAACUACUAAAAAUGAAAGGAAAACAGGAGGAAGACCAGUGUGCUUAAGUUUAGGACAACAACACAAUGUGAAGCACCCAGUGGAUGUCAAUGAGUUUUUUCUCUUAAUAAUUUGCCUGUAAGCAAGGCUGUCAUUGCUAACACUUCUGAUGAGCUCUCUUGAAUCUUUGAGGGGACCAAUAAUUGCAGUUUCAAGGUGGGAUUUGUAAAAAAAAAUCAUGUGAACAGUUUUCACCCAUAUAUUUUACGUUACAUAUGUUAUGAGACAUGUUUGAAAAGGCAUGUAUAAGCAAAUUUGUCUAAAUUCAAAUGUUACAAACACACAGCUAUAUACUUGUAUGUGUUGUGUGUGUAUACCCAACUCUAUACUGCUGGAAGUUGUGGAGACAAGCAGCACUAUCUGACCCUGGCCCUGAGGCCUCUAAGUUGCCUGACAAUGAGCCAGCUCUCAGACUUAAUGUCCCAUGGGAUGGAGGGCUCCCAAGGUCUCCAAGUUCUGGAUGCAGUGACAUCUGAGAGACUUUUCCUACACAGUAGACACGUAAGGUUGAAACUGCUUGGUGUGUUAUCUAACGUGUUUAUUCCCCCACGCAAGACUACCUUUAUACAUACCUCAUUAAAUGGAAGAAUAUCAAGGGGUGGAGUUUCCCUGCUGGCAUCCCCAUGGCACAUUUAUCCAUUUGGCCCGAGCACACCUUUCAACGGGAGUCUGGGAGGGCAGGGACCUAGCUGGGCUGAUCCUGCUCUCAUGAGUUCCAGCUGCACCAAAUGAUGCUGGUUGGUGUCUACCCUGAGCCCUUUACACAAAUACCAGUGCAGUCUUGUUUUAGAUCCUGGGGAAAUAACAACUGAUUUCUGUGGAUGAGAAGUUCAUAUCAGUUAGCAGAGGAAAAUUUGUUGUUUCAUCUCAUAACGCAUGUGUUUUAAUUAUUUCUGCCAUCAGAUUUAACAAAGCUCUAAAAUGAAAUUUAAAGUAGCAUG
Pongo pygmaeus (Bornean orangutan) is the source of this 1505-nucleotide long non-coding RNA. RefSeq lists it as uncharacterized. NCBI's taxonomy places the organism in Eukaryota, Metazoa, Chordata, Mammalia, Primates, Hominidae. The record is from RefSeq and is a predicted model, not a curated record. The transcript has 4 exons.